RNAcentral lists this ribosomal RNA (479 nucleotides) under uncultured bacterium. RNAcentral's name for it is "partial 16S ribosomal RNA". It matches the Rfam family "Bacterial small subunit ribosomal RNA", at positions 28 to 507 of the family's 1533-position model. The record is from RNAcentral.
GAUGAACGCUGGCGGCGUGCUUAACACAUGCAAGUCGAGCGAGAAGUUUUGAAAAGAUUCUUCGGAUGAAAUUUAAAAUGGAAAGCGGCGGACGGGUGAGUAACGCGUAGGCAACCUGCCCCAUACAAAGGGAUAGCAUUUGGAAACGAAUAUUAAUACCUUAUGAAACUUAACUAGUGCAUGCUAGGUAGGUCAAAGAUUUAUCGGUAUGGGAUGGGCCUGCGUCUGAUUAGCUAGUUGGUGAGGUAACGGCUCACCAAGGCGACGAUCAGUAGCCGACCUGGGAGGGUGAACGGCCACAUUGGAACUGAGACACGGUCCAAACUCCUGCGGGAGGCGGCAGUGGGGAAUAUUGCACAAUGGGGGCAACCCUGAUGCAGCAACGCCGCGUGAACGAUGAAGGCCUUUGGGUCGUAAAGUUCUGUUCUAGGUGAUGAAAACUGACAGUAACCUAGGAGAAAGCCCCGGCUAACUCCGUG